Molecule: long non-coding RNA, 581 nt
Filed under: Homo sapiens (human)
Lineage: Eukaryota; Metazoa; Chordata; Mammalia; Primates; Hominidae
Description: non-protein coding lnc-ASB1-2:3
Source: RNAcentral
UGACAGGGCUGGAUGAACGUGUGACCCUGGGAGAUCCGGGCUGGACUGUGGACCCCGAUGGGCCAGAGUCCUUGUGGCCCACAGCAUAGCACUGGGGACAGAGCGCUCUAUGCAGGUGGAAGUGUUGGUCGUGCGAAAUCUUGGUAUUCGCAUUUCAAGAAGGGAGUUCUUUUUUCUUUCUUCUUUCUAUGGAACGUUUCAAGUGAUUGGAUAGAAAGAAGGGCUCUGAAGCAGGAGUUUUCACCUGCUCUGAGGGAACUUGGGGCUCCAGGGACGUACCCCAAAUGUUGCCCAGGUUGAAACUCCCUGACAGCCUGUUCUACGUAGUGGCUCGUGGUUUCCAGUUUGAAGAGAGUUGUGCCCCUAAAAGUGUUUGAAACCUGUGGCUUUCAAGCAAGGUACCGUUGUCCCCACAGUGUUCCGUGGGGUAGGGGGUGAUGGAGACUGUGGGCAAGCCUGUUGUUUUUGGCCCCCUGUUGUUACAUGGGACCUGUUUUGACGGUGGGAGGGUGAGAUGUGAAGAUGUGGGAUGAACCUGGAAUGAACGAAUUAAAUAAAGACAUGCAUCCAUCUGUCAGCGA